CGUGUAGGCGGCUUGGCAAGUCGGACGUGAAAGCCCGGGGCUCAACCCCGGAACUGCGCUCGAAACUGCCUCGCUAGAGUCCCGGAGAGGAGGGCGGAAUUCCCGGUGUAGAGGUGAAAUUCGUAGAUAUCGGGAGGAACACCAGCGGCGAAGGCGGCCCUCUGGACGGUGACUGACGCUCAGACGCGAAAGCGUGGGGAGCAAACAGGAUUAGAUACCCUGGUAGUCC
RNAcentral lists this ribosomal RNA (229 nucleotides) under uncultured bacterium. RNAcentral describes it as "partial 16S ribosomal RNA". It matches the Rfam family "Bacterial small subunit ribosomal RNA", at positions 568 to 796 of the family's 1533-position model. The record is from RNAcentral.